UAAUACGUAGGGGGCGAGCGUUGUCCGGAAUUAUUGGGCGUAAAGGGUUCGUAGGCGGCAAUGUAUGUCAGGUGUGAAAGACGGUGGCUCAACCAACGCAAGCAUCUGAAACUGCAUAGCUUGAGAAAAGGAGAGGUAAGUGGAAUUCCUAGUGUAGCGGUGAAAUGCGUAGAUAUUAGGAGGAAUACCAGUGGCGAAGGCGACUUACUGGACUUUAACUGACGCUGAUGAACGAAAGCGUGGGGAGCAAACAGG
This 255-nucleotide ribosomal RNA is filed under the name uncultured bacterium. RNAcentral describes it as "partial 16S ribosomal RNA". It matches the Rfam family "Bacterial small subunit ribosomal RNA", at positions 521 to 776 of the family's 1533-position model. The record is from RNAcentral.